This is a long non-coding RNA of Pantherophis guttatus, 437 nucleotides long. RefSeq lists it as uncharacterized. NCBI's taxonomy places the organism in Eukaryota, Metazoa, Chordata, Lepidosauria, Squamata, Colubridae. The record is from RefSeq and is a predicted model, not a curated record.
UCUUUACAUAAAAGCCAUUAUUGCCAAAGGCAUUGGAUAUCAGAACAGAGAAUGGUGACAUUCCACAGAUAUGUAGCAGCAGUUGACUUGACUGAUUUCCAAUCUUGGCUCUUAUGAAGAAAUCCAGAACACAGAUAAGCACAACCACCAAAUACAUUGCAGCUAUAUUUAGCACCCUACAGACCUUCCCAAUUGAAGCUGAAGGAAGCGAUUGUGCCUGACUCUUUUGUCCCCAAUGUAUUUGGUUUCUGAUGUAAAAAGGCCAGCAAGAAUCUCUGGAAUUAAGCUUCUGCCUCUUGAAUAGAAUGGAAAUUCUUGGCUAUGUGUGACUUCAUGAGAAAAUGCCAUGCUUCCAUCACUUCCACCAUGGGAGCUUCCAAAAAUAUGGGAAAUCAAUUAUGUGCAUUUGGUUGUUUCAUAAAGGAUCUUCUAAAGUU